UUCCUCACUAGUCAAGUUCCUCGCUAGUCCUCUGACCUGGCAUUCAUCCCAAUAGGAUCUAAUCUGUGACCUAAGGCUGGCAGGGCUGUGAGCUUUCUCUGUUCAUUUCCCUCUGCAUUUUCUACUUUUACAGGAAAUACCUCCAAAAAAGUGUAGCUCCCUUCCACAGAAAAGCUGCUGGUUUCAUGGCCAGCCCUGAUCUUGUGAAACACCUUGCCAACUGAGCUGGAGAGGGCACAGAAGUAGCUUCAAGUAUUACAAGAAAUGAAGCAGUAUCUUCAAACAUACUUUCUGGUGCCCAAAUGAGAGAGUUUUUGCCAAUAUGCCAAUAUUCUGGCUGUGUGUGGUGGCUCAUGCCUGUAAUCCGAGCACUUUGGAAGGCCGAGACAGGUGGAUCACCUGAGGUCAGGAGUUUGUGGCCACCCUGGACAACAUGGCAAAACCCCAUCUCUACUAAAAAUACAAAAAUUAGCAGGUGUUGUGGCACUCAUCUGUAAUCCUAGGUACUCCGGAGGGUGAGACAGCAGCAUUGCUUGAAACCAGGAGACAGAGGUUGCAGUGAGCAAGAUCAUGCCACUGCACUCCAGCCUGGGCGACAGAGCAAGACUCUGUCUCAAAAGAAAAAAAAAUGUAGAUUCUCAUGAUUUUUUAUUUUACAAAACAAUAUGAUUAUUAAUAAAACAGUUUGACUUUUUUCCUUCCA
RNAcentral lists this long non-coding RNA (703 nucleotides) under Homo sapiens (human). RNAcentral describes it as "HSALNT0013470". Lineage: Eukaryota; Metazoa; Chordata; Mammalia; Primates; Hominidae. The record is from RNAcentral.